CCUACGGGAGGCUGCAGUGGGGAAUAUUGGGCAAUGGGCGCAAGCCUGACCCAGCAACGCCGCGUGAAGGAAGAAGGCUUUCGGGUUGUAAACUUCUUUUGACAGGGAAGAGCAGAAGACGGUACCUGUCGAAUAAGCCACGGCUAACUACGUGCCAGCAGCCGGGGUAAUACGUAGGUGGCAAGCGUUGUCCGGAUUUACUGGGGGUAAAGGGCGUGGAGCCGGGCUGACAAGUCAGAUGUGAAAUCCGGGGGCUCAACCCCCGAACUGCAUUUGAAACUGUUGGUCUUGAGUAUCGGAGGGGCAGGCGGAAUUCCUAGUGUAGCGGUGGAAUGCGUAGAUAUUAGGAGGAACACCAGUGGCGAAGGCGGCCUGCUGGACGACAACUGACGGUGAGGCGCGAAAGCGUGGGGAGCAAACAGGAUUAGAUACCCCUGUAGUC
Molecule: ribosomal RNA, 442 nt
Filed under: uncultured bacterium
Lineage: Bacteria
Description: partial 16S ribosomal RNA
Rfam family: Bacterial small subunit ribosomal RNA
Source: RNAcentral